RNAcentral lists this ribosomal RNA (398 nucleotides) under uncultured Alphaproteobacteria bacterium. RNAcentral describes it as "bacterial SSU rRNA". It matches the Rfam family "Bacterial small subunit ribosomal RNA", at positions 9 to 433 of the family's 1533-position model. Lineage: Bacteria; Pseudomonadati; Pseudomonadota; Alphaproteobacteria. The record is from RNAcentral.
GAGUUUGAUCCUGGCUCAGAACGAACGCUGGCGGCAUGCCUAAUACAUGCAAGUCGAACGCUCGUAGCAAUACGGGAGUGGCGGACGGGUGAGUAACGCGUGGGAACCUGCCCAGUGGUAGGGAAUAACCGCGGGAAACUGCGGCUAAUACCCUAUGAGCCCUACGGGGGAAAGAUUUAUCGCCAUUGGAGGGGCCCGCGUCGGAUUAGCUAGUUGGUGGGGUAACGGCCCACCAAGGCGACGAUCCGUAGCUGGUCUGAGAGGAUGAUCAGCCACACUGGGACUGAGAUACGGCCCAGACUCCUACGGGAGGCAGCAGUAGGGAAUAUUGGACAAUGGGCGAAAGCCUGAUCCAGCAAUGCCGCGUGAGUGAAGAAGGCCUUAGGGUUGUAAAGCUC